AGCCAUAUUUCCUCUCAUGGCAUCCCCUCAUAUUACCUGCGCCCUUUCCACGUUUAAUCUCGCGAGUUUAACACACGCGCUCACGUGACCCGCUGUAGCCUAUCGAUCCACCGUCCCAAGAUGGCUGCUCGGUGCGGUGGCUAAGCCUGGGGACAUCUGAAGACGGUGCCGACCAUCAGGGCCGAGUUGUGACGAGAGAGUGUGUCGAUGUUAAGAUAUUAAGCCGAGUUGGCCAGGUCCCUAAGUCUUGGAUGGCGAGCUGUAGAUAGGCCGUGAGCCCGUGCCCAAGGAUCUCCACCUCUCAACCCCUGAACUCCACCUGCUCUGGUCGGGCCGGUAGGCGGCUUAUAGCCGAACCCCUUGCCUCGCACCAUACUCUGCGGCCCUAUACUACACACCCUGCCCAUAAACUGAACUCUCACUACAAACUGCCAUAUCCACAACCCCAACCCGUGUGGCCUUAUGAACUGUGAAUGCGCAUAUGGACUGCGAUCAGUCUCAUAUGACUCCUAUGAACUUUAAGAACUUUAAUUUGAUACUAUACCUUGUAUGAAUUACCUGAACUCUUAAUCAAUGAACUAAACCAACAUUGUUUGUUGAGAUUCCUUUGUUUUUUUUCUUUUGUUUUGAAUGGCCAUUCCUAUCAAUGUCUGUCCACUAUUUGUUGCACUGUACAUAUUUAAAUAAC
Long non-coding RNA from Entelurus aequoreus (snake pipefish), 688 nucleotides. RefSeq lists it as uncharacterized. NCBI's taxonomy places the organism in Eukaryota, Metazoa, Chordata, Actinopteri, Syngnathiformes, Syngnathidae. The transcript is spliced from 3 exons. The record is from RefSeq and is a predicted model, not a curated record.